RNAcentral lists this ribosomal RNA (497 nucleotides) under uncultured bacterium. RNAcentral describes it as "partial 16S ribosomal RNA". It matches the Rfam family "Bacterial small subunit ribosomal RNA", at positions 28 to 507 of the family's 1533-position model. The record is from RNAcentral.
GAUGAACGCUGGCGGCGUGCCUAAUACAUGCAAGUCGAGCGAACAGAUAAGGAGCUUGCUCCUUUGACGUUAGCGGCGGACGGGUGAGUAACACGUGGGUAACCUACCUAUAAGACUGGGAUAACUUCGGGAAACCGGAGCUAAUACCGGAUAACAUUUGGAACCGCAUGGUUCUAAAGUGAAAGAUGGUUUUGCUAUCACUUAUAGAUGGACCCGCGCCGUAUUAGCUAGUUGGUAAGGUAACGGCUUACCAAGGCGACGAUACGUAGCCGACCUGAGAGGGUGAUCGGCCACACUGGAACUGAGACACGGUCCAGACUCCUACGGGAGGCAGCAGUAGGGAAUCUUCCGCGAUGGGCGAAAGCCUGACGGAGCAACGCCGCGUGAGUGAUGAAGGGUUUCGGCUCGUAAAACGCUGUUAUUAGGGAAGAACAAAUGUGUAAGUAACUGUGCACGUCUUGACGGUACCUAAUCAGAAAGCCACGGCUAACUACGUG